CCUACGGGGGGCAGCAGUGAGGAAUAUUGGUCAAUGGGCGCGCGCCUGAACCAGCCAAGUAGCGUGAAGGAUGACUGCCUUACGGGUUGUAAACUUCUUUUAUAAAGGAAUACAGUGAGGCACGUGUGCCUUUUUGUAUGUACUUUAUGAAUAAGGAUCGGCUAACUCCGUGCCAGCAGCGGCGGUAAUACGGAGGAUCCGAGAGUUAUCCGGAUUUAUUGGGUUUAAAGGGAGCGUCGAUGGGUUGUUAAGUCAGUUGUGAAAGUUUGCGGCUCAACCGUAAAAUUGCAAUUGAUACUGGCAGGCUUGAGUACAGUUGAGGUAGGCGGAAUUCGUGGUGUAGCGGUGAAAUGCUUAGAUAUCACGAAGAACUCCGAUUGCGAAGGCAGCUUACUAAACUGCAACUGACAUUGAUGCUCGAAAGUGUGGGUAUCAAACAGGAUUAGAUACCCCAGUAGUC
Molecule: ribosomal RNA, 460 nt
Filed under: uncultured bacterium
Lineage: Bacteria
Description: partial 16S ribosomal RNA
Rfam family: Bacterial small subunit ribosomal RNA
Source: RNAcentral